AUAGAACAUAAAUUUGGAUGAAAAAUGAGGUAGGAAUAUUAAUGGGCUAUUUUGGAAACAUUUUGCCGGUGGGUUUUUAUAAAAAUUAUAGAACUCAUCAAUAUCCCAAAAAUAGUUUUCAGAAAGUCAAUUAAUAAUUCUUGUCCCAUUCAUUUCAUUCCAACUUUAUUUCCCUAAAUAUUUCUCAACACUAGUCAAAAAGGGUGAAAGGGGAAAUGAAAUUGGAAGGAUGGAAUGACUAAUUUACCCUUGAUUAGUUAAGGAGUAAUUGGGGAUUUUGAGAUUGUUUUGAAAACUGGGAAAGAGUUCAAUGGUAAUAAUGGGAUGAAUAAUCAUGCUUAACUUGUGCAACUGAAUAUUCGGAAAUUUAAAUUCUGAAUGAAAAUUAGGUGGAAAUAUUAUUUGGUACAUUUACAUUUUUUUAUUUUUAUUUUUUGAAAACAUAGACAUGUAUGCAUAAAAUUUAAGAACAGUGUGAUAUAGUUUUAGUGGUGGUCUAAACCAAUCUAGGUUGCAAUGCAUAUAAAAGUAAAUGAUAGGUUAAAUUGAAUGUAACGAUAUAUGAUUAAUUUAGUUUGACCUAUCAUGUAUUGCAAUCCAGAUAUGUAUUAAA
Molecule: long non-coding RNA, 613 nt
Filed under: Olea europaea (common olive)
Lineage: Eukaryota; Viridiplantae; Streptophyta; Magnoliopsida; Lamiales; Oleaceae
Description: long non-coding RNA (OEUR_LNC013753)
Source: RNAcentral